AAUGAGGUGCCUGAUCUUAAAAGGGUUAUUUUGAUAGAAUAAAUUAUGCAAGUAUUUGCCCUCAUUA
This 67-nucleotide transfer RNA is filed under the name Leptocoris augur. Its description in RNAcentral is "tRNA-Ile". Lineage: Eukaryota; Metazoa; Arthropoda; Insecta; Hemiptera; Rhopalidae. The record is from RNAcentral.